CACACUGAAAGAGGGCAAAGGGGAGAAAAAUACUCCCCUUUAGGGAGUAUUGGCUUAUUCUUUAGGAAUUGAGGAAUACAACAUAAAUAAAGGAAGCUGAGCAGUAGGAAGAAAUGAGAACAGAUGUUUGUGUGCUGUUUGAAAUUACCCUGGCCUGCCCUCAUAUCCUGAGUUCAAAGCCUUAGCAGAUCCUUAUUGGAAAGAAAUCACCUUAAGAAUACUUUUUAUGAAAAAAAAAAAAAAAAAGAAUACUUUUUAUGUCUGUUGCAGUUUUAACAAUAGAUAUUUCAAUGAGCAACACCAUAAAAAUAUCAUGGAUGGAUAGAAACUGUUGAUAAAGACAAUAUAUUUUGUAAAGAAAGACCCAAGGAACUCACCUGUGACUCAGAUGCAGUGUGGUGGAAAGUUCAUCUUUGGCUUGUUUGGAAAUGACCUGGAGAUGUGAAAUCUGAAAUUACUGAGUCACAUUUUGCCCCCAAAUACGAGUAGGAUUUGGCAGAGGGACAGAGAGAGAAAGAGCACAAGCAGGGGGAACAACAGACGGAGAAGAAGCAGAAGACU
Long non-coding RNA from Canis lupus familiaris (dog), 561 nucleotides. RefSeq lists it as uncharacterized. The transcript has 3 exons. The record is from RefSeq and is a predicted model, not a curated record. Lineage: Eukaryota; Metazoa; Chordata; Mammalia; Carnivora; Canidae.